GACGAACGCUGGCGGCGUGCUUAACACAUGCAAGUCGAGCGGUAAGGCCCUUUCGGGGUACGACGAGCGGCGAACGGGUGAGUAACACGUGGGUGACCUCGCCCUCCAGCUCUGGGAGUAAGCCUCGGGAAACCGGGUCGUAAUACCGGAUAUGACUCCAUGACGCAUGUUGUGGGGUGGAAAGCCUUGUGCGGCUGAGGAUGGGCCCGCGGCCUAUCAGCUUGUUGGUGGGGUGAUGGCCUACCAAGGCGACGACGGGUAGCCGGCCUGAGAGGGCGACCGGCCACACUGGGACUGAGACACGGCCCA
RNAcentral lists this ribosomal RNA (309 nucleotides) under uncultured bacterium. RNAcentral's name for it is "bacterial SSU rRNA". It matches the Rfam family "Bacterial small subunit ribosomal RNA", at positions 28 to 333 of the family's 1533-position model. The record is from RNAcentral.